This 2642-nucleotide unclassified non-coding RNA is filed under the name Chelonus insularis. RNAcentral describes it as "phosphatidylinositol 3,4,5-trisphosphate 3- phosphatase and dual-specificity protein phosphatase PTEN, transcript variant X5". Lineage: Eukaryota; Metazoa; Arthropoda; Insecta; Hymenoptera; Braconidae. The record is from RNAcentral.
CUUAUACUGCUCAAGAUUAUUACCGUUUGAUCAGAAGUAUGGCUCUGAGAACGAAUGAACGAGUGAGAAAGAAGAACAAGAGAACAUGGUGUUCGCGCUAGUUUCUUCACCUUCGUGAAUUCUCAAAAAUCAAGGUUAGAAGACAAUAACUGCCAAGUUGUGAGAGAAGAAAAAAGUGAGCGAAACUGAGAAAACAUAGGAAAGAUAGAGAAAGAGAGAGAGAGAGCGAGAGAGGAAGAGGAAUAGGGGGAGAGAGAGAGCGAGUGAGGGCAAUAGAGAAAGAGAAAACGAGUGAGCGAGUACGAGGAGACGCGACUGACGCGAAAGUAGAGAUUUGAUUAUUCUUCUUCGUGUAAGGAGGAAAAGAAUUCGGGUGUUUAUUUCAUUUGUGAUUCAUAACAAGAGAAAAGUUACCCAACCUCAACAUCGGCUGGAGAGAGACACACCUGCGGCGCUCCAAUGCAUUGUCGAAUGUUUAUCAGAUGAAAUUUAUACUUGACGAGAUUUGCCAUGAGUUCCGUCCAAACUUUCUAAGGUUAGCAGAUAAAAUGAUGGAAGAAUCUAAAUGAUGGAUAACAAGGUGGGAAACUUCCAGGACCUAUGCUCUACGCAUUGAUGGGUAUAUGCUUUUCCUGUAGGAGACCCUCUAGCAGUCGGCUGAAUAAUAAAAUUUCUGAGCACAUAUCGGCAUCGGUAACCCCGCUCCAUGUUUGUCUGGAGGAACAAAGAGGACCAGAACUGGGUUCGUGUGACGCCGUGGCCAGUGGGACACAGCAGGUUAAAAGUAGCCGUGAUCAUUUGGGAGAAACGGUUAGCAUUAAAUCGUGGGAAACGGAGAUAGAAUCUACUCGAGUUGAAUCAGACGAGUGGAUUCAGCCAAGCAUGGCAAAUACAAUCAGUAAUAUAAAAAUGACAAACCCCAUAAAGGGGUUAGUAAGUAAACGUCGCAAACGUUUCACAGAGGAUGGAUUUGACCUUGAUCUCACUUAUAUUCGUGAUAAUCUUAUAGCAAUGGGCUUUCCUGCCGAGAAACUUGAAGGUGUAUAUAGAAAUCACAUUGACGACGUGGUAAAAUUUUUGGAGUCAAAACAUAAAGAUCACUACAAAAUUUAUAAUCUUUGUUCAGAGCGAUCAUAUGAUUAUAAAAAAUUUAAACAAAGAGUUGUAACAUAUGCAUUCGAUGAUCAUAAUCCGCCCAAAUUGGAGCAAAUAAAACCUUUUUGUGAAGAUGUUCACGCAUGGUUAUCCGAAGAUUGUAAAAAUGUCGCUGCUGUACAUUGUAAAGCUGGCAAAGGUAGAACUGGUGUUAUGGUUUGCUGUUAUCUACUUCAUACAAAACAGUUUUCCACUGCCGCGGAUGCUUUAAAUUUUUAUGGAACUAAAAGAACGACUGAUCGGAAAGGAGUAACGAUUCCUUCACAACGGAGAUAUGUCAGUUAUUAUGCGUCACUUAUCCAAGAAGGGCUUCAUUAUCAACCUGUUCCUCUGAUUUUAAGAAAAAUUAUAUUAGAUCCUGUUCCGAUAUUCAACGGCAAUCAAGGAUAUUUACAUUUUGUGAUAUCACAGGAAAACAAACGUAUUUACUCUUCUGAAACAGUUGAAAUAAAAAAGGGAAUGUCAUCAAUUAGCAUUCCUUUAACUCAUCAUGUUUUGUUGACGGGUGAUGUUCGUGUAGAUUUUUUUAAUAAGAAACCAAAAAUAAAAAGAAAAGAAAAAAUGUUCCAUUUUUGGUUUAACACAUUCUUUGUACGUGACAAUACACCAAUGGAAUAUGAAAACGGUGAAUUACCCGUAGAACGUUCUACAAGAGCAUUAAGUUGCGAUGGUACAGCAAUGGAACUGCCAAUGGUAACAUCAAAACCGAGAACAAGUUCAUUGGCUAAUCUUGGUCAAAUGUCGCCUACACUUAUUUUAGACAUUAAUAAAUUGGAUCUAGAUGAUGCGCAUAAAGAUAAAUAUCAUAAAUUAUAUGCUAAUAAUUUUAAGGUGACUUUGGUAAUGCAUCGACAAUGGGAAGGAACUGGCAGUGGCAUACCACAUACAGUGCCAGCAAUAGUGCCCAGACCUGAUGAACAAAUUGGUAUAAGUGGACAUGAGAGUCCAAGUGAAUCGAGUGAUGCAGAUAGUAGUGAAUGUGAUACAACAGGUGAUGAAGAUGGAUGGGAAUCAGUGGACAUGGAUCAACGAGUCGGCCGAUAUCGUCUUCUGUCAGAUGGAGGAAUGAUAGAUGUUGUAUGAAUCCGCGUCGUCUUCAUAUUCUCUACUCCCGUCAUCUUGAAUCGUCCCUUCGAGUUUCGGGAGAAUCAACGUAUUUGUGAUUUUGAGACGUGACUGAGGAUGGGCCACUGCAAGCUAAGCUCCUUUACAGACGACCAACCUUUAUAACUAGAAUAGUUAAAUAUUACUUCAUGUACCUUAAAAAAAUUUUAAUCAUACUUUUUGACAUUAUCAUAACAUUCUAACUUUACCUGUUUACUACAUUGCUAUGAGCAUGAGUUCCAUUUUUGCCUUUAUAAUUAUUUUUUAAUUGAUUAUAUAUCUAAAGAGCGAAUUAAUCUCAAAGUCCUAUCCUUUGAUUCUGUUGCUCAUCUAAAUUGAAAUAUAAAUUUUCCAACAUAUUCAUAAGUACGUAAAAAUUAAUG